GCCCGGGUGGUGUAGCCCGGCCUAUCAUGCGGGCCUGUCGCGGGUGUUGUGUUCGGCAGCAUCCGCAGAAAGCCCGCGACUCGGGUUCAAAUCCCGACCCGGGCG
Molecule: transfer RNA, 105 nt
Filed under: Archaeoglobus veneficus SNP6
Lineage: Archaea; Methanobacteriati; Methanobacteriota; Archaeoglobi; Archaeoglobales; Archaeoglobaceae
Description: tRNA-Asp
Source: RNAcentral